AGAACCAAGAGGACUUUGAAUGAUCUAACUGCAAGUUCUCCUCCCUACUCUACUACUGUAAAUAAGGUCUCCUACUCAACCAUCCUUAUCAAGAGGACUAGCACCCCUUGGAAUCAGUCUUGAUAUUACAAAGGCGGCCAGCUACAGCCUCUGCUUAUUCACCCUCUUCCUGAGUGCAACCGCGGCCCUGUGUGGUGUAUGAUUCCCUGCUCCCCCAGGCUGAGCCAAGAAAUCUUUGACUGUUCUCCCUGCUCACCUCUAUGUUAUGCAGACUAAGGCUUUCAUUGGGUACCACACUUAUUAACCCUAGGGACUGUUACUCUGACACCAUGCUUCUACUUUCUUGGGUUAAACCCAGAAAACAAAACACACUUUUCCUGUUUUGGGAUUCCCUAAGCCUACCUGGAAACUGAGGAUUCUCUCUACCAUUCUGAUCACUCAUUUUAAAGUCCCAAUCAAUGCCAUCUUUUCAGGUAAACUUUUCCUAGAGGGACAAUAACACUGUUUGUACCUGAAUGUGAAGGGACCUCUUCUUCUGAACUUUUGUUUUAUUA
Molecule: long non-coding RNA, 554 nt
Organism: Lutra lutra (Eurasian river otter)
Lineage: Eukaryota; Metazoa; Chordata; Mammalia; Carnivora; Mustelidae
Exons: 3
Source: RefSeq, a predicted model, not a curated record